RNAcentral lists this ribosomal RNA (446 nucleotides) under uncultured bacterium. RNAcentral's name for it is "partial 16S ribosomal RNA". It matches the Rfam family "Bacterial small subunit ribosomal RNA", at positions 338 to 795 of the family's 1533-position model. The record is from RNAcentral.
CCUACGGGUGGCAGCAGUCGAGAAUCAUUCACAAUGGGGGAAACCCUGAUGGUGCGACGCCGCGUGGGGGAAUGAAGGUCUUCGGAUUGUAAACCCCUGUCAUGUGGGAGCAAACCAAAAAGAUAGUACCACAAGAGGAAGAGACGGCUAACUCUGUGCCAGCAGCCGCGGUACUACAGAGGUCUCAAGCGUGGUUCGGAAUCACUGGGCGUAAAGCGUGCGGAGGCUGAUUGGUAUGUCGUGUGUGAAAGGGGCGGGCUCAACCCGCGGACGGCACAUAAUACUGCGGAACUAGAGAAAUGGAGGGGGAGCCGGAAUUCUAGGUGUAGCAGUGAAAUGCGUAGAGAUCGAGAGGAACACUCGUGGCGAAGGCAGGUUCCUGGACAUUAACUGACGCUGAGGCACGAAGGCGAGGGGAGCGAAAGGGAUUAGAUACCCCAGUAGUC